GGGGGAUAUUGCACAAUGGGGGAAACCCUGAUGCAGCGACGCCGCGUGGAGGAAGAAGGUUUUCGGAUUGUAAACUCCUGUCGUUAGGGACGAUAAUGACGGUACCUAACAAGAAAGCACCCGGCUAACUACGUGCCAGCAGCCGCGGUAAAACGUAGGGUGCAAGCGUUGUCCGGAAUUACUGGGUGUAAAGGGAGCGCAGGCGGGAAGACAAGUUGGAAGUGAAAACCAUGGGCUCAACCCAUGAAUUGCUUUCAAAACUGUUUUUCUUGAGUAGUGCAGAGGUAGAUGGAAUUCCCGGUGUAGCGGUGGAAUGCGUAGAUAUCGGGAGGAACACCAGUGGCGAAGGCGGUCUACUGGGCACCAACUGACGCUGAGGCUCGAAAGCAUGGGUAGCAAACAGGAUUAGAUACCCUGGUAGUCCAUGCCGUAAACGAUGAUUACUAGGUGUUGGGGGAUUGACCCCCUCAGUGCCGCAGUUAACACAAUAAGUAAUCCACCUGGGGAGUAC
Molecule: ribosomal RNA, 511 nt
Filed under: uncultured bacterium
Lineage: Bacteria
Description: bacterial SSU rRNA
Rfam family: Bacterial small subunit ribosomal RNA
Source: RNAcentral